RNA transcript from Macrobrachium nipponense, 9559 nucleotides. It is a transcript of the gene named alsin-like, with no coding region annotated. Lineage: Eukaryota; Metazoa; Arthropoda; Malacostraca; Decapoda; Palaemonidae. The transcript has 9 exons. The record is from RefSeq and is a predicted model, not a curated record.
CAGGUCUUUUGGGAAGUUUAGCGUCAGUGCUUCUCAGAAGUGGGAGUGCAUCUUGCAGGAGUGCCGAGAUAAAUUGGCAAUCACCUCUGGUCCUGAGAUGAGCACAAGCAAGAUCUGGAAUAAUCUGGCAACUCAGCUUGAGGCAGAGAAGCAGCUGGCAUCGAGACAAGGUGGCACGGUUGAUUUCCUGGAUGGGAUCGAUCGUAUACCAGAGUUGAGGGAGGAGUUGAACUAUCAGCAUUUCAUGGAUAUUCACACGUAUUUAGGCAAGGCAUUUGGUUGCAGACUCCAUCCCCUAGGGCAGCUUUUACUCUCCUUAGUUGAUGCCUUUAGGGCCACUUACGGAGGGGUCGUCGCUCACCCCCGCCUCCUUCCAUAUGCAGUUCAAGAGGUUCAUUCAUUCACGUCAAGACUGUUUGAAAUUGUUCGGGUUCUUUUCCCCAACCUUCCAAGCGAAAAUGAAAAUUUAUUGCUCGAGUCAGAAAAUGAAGAUGAAGAAGAUAUAGUUGUCACGCCAGCAUACGUCAUUCAUCCAUGGCUGCUACCUCAUUUGUACUCUCCGCUGUCCACUUUGUACGUUUUGUAUCACCAGCCCAAGGAUGAAGAAUACUGGCAGAGACUGCUGAAAUGGAACAAGCAACCGGACACAGCUCUCAUGACAUUUUUGGGAGUUGAUGUGAAAUUUUGGUUACCUGAGGGGACUAGCCUGAUUGAGUCGAGCAGAACCAUAGGCACAAUGAAGGAUCAGCAUUUUACAGAAGCUAUAGAAACCCUCCAGAUGUUGUCUACAUCGUUCAGCCCCAGAGACAAGCUAAACCUCAUCCAUCGUACCUUCCAGCAAGUUAGCAAGGCUGUGAUGACCAAAUUAGGAAGCAAUUACCUGUGGAGUAUGGAUGAUCUGUUCCCUGUGUUCCAGUAUGUUGUUGUAAGGUCACGUAUCCAGCACUUGGGGGCAGAAAUUCAACUCAUUGAUGAUUUGUUAGAUCCUCAUAUGCAACACGGGGAACUUGGAAUCAUGUUCACGACGUUGCGGGCGUGCUACUAUCAAAUCCAAAACGAGAAAGUGAGCCACAUGCUGUGAUAUUGAAAAUGACUCGUGGCAGUGUAUGACAUUUUUUUGAAGUAAAUUGUAAAGUGACAAGUGGGAAGCAGAAACUUUGCAAGUGGGGGAAACAAAGUAAAGGAAAUAAAAAAAAAUACUCAGACUCAAAAAACUUUCCAGGCUUGUGAUAGAGCAUCAAAAUAUGGUAAAAAUGCUUUACGUUUAAUCCUGUGAUGCAGUAGAGGCUUUCUUGAACAACACAUGUUUAUGUGAAUUAAGGAGUGUUUUAAGAGACUUAUAUUCCUAUUGAGAAGCUGGUUAUCUGUACUGUGUACCGUGUGGAGAACUUGUACCGUGCAGGUGGGUUUGUCAGUUGUGUAGUGAUAAGCCAAAGUAGUUAACGUUUUAGUUUGUACAAGUAGAGUAAAGUAUUUGUAUUUGAUAGACCCAGCCCGCUUGCUGUUUUUGCGAGUCAGCGUCUUUGGAGGUUGUUUCUGAGAGAGAGAUACUUUACCGGGAAAGGAGCCAAGUUGAGUAGAUGCUCUUCUAUGCAAUGUUGUAUCUUGAAUUGAAGGCACCUAUGCAGAUGGAAAAGCAUGAAGUUCUGUUCUGUUUGGGUAGCUGUUAGUUUAGAUUUAUUAACGAGAUACCUUUGAUUACUAGAAGCUGUGAAUUCUUAUGUACGUUUACAUGUUACUUGAUAGGUCAAGUAAGUUACCUUGAAACUAGAGGGUAUUUGGAUGUGGUAUUGUCAUUUUUGUGUGGGUUGGAGAAAGUGUGUCUUGAGGUUUCAGCACAAGGUGAAAAGGAGUUGUAGCUUUAGAUUGUUGUCAGUGUUACCUGUUUAGGAAACAGAUGAUUAGAAAAUUAUCCCUUGAGUGUGGCAGUGUGAUGACAUUUUUUUGUUUCCCUCAGAGGAAAUCUGACUUCUUUUUGCCUUGUACCCAUUCUUCUGAUUAUUGUUUGCCAUGCCACAUUAAAUGAUAAGUGAAGCUUAGGUCAGUAACUACGAAGUGGAUUUGGAAGACUAUCUGGGCAAGUUGUACCUUUGCAAGAGGUUCAAGAUCUUGAUGGAUCUAUAUGGUUGAUUGUUGGUUCAUUACACAAAAUUAACUCAAUGAAGGAGCUUAGCUUACCAGAUAGUGGGUGUUAAUUGCUUUCUGUUCUUUAUGGAGCAAAAUUAGGAAAAUUUGUCCUGCUUCUAAGGGGGCAAAGUUUUUCAUAACUCCUUAUUCAGUGAAUGUGGUUAAGAUAAUCUUGUGGUGCUUCAAAUUAAAACUUCAUUCAAAUCAGAUGGUCAGGCAUUUGUUAAUGCCUAAUACUUUUACUGUCUUUUUGUUUGUGAUUUUGAUUGAAUACAAUCUCAUAUUUUACACAAGACUUGACCCUGCUAGCACAUCUGUAAGUACAGCAUCCGAGUAGUUCUGAUUAGACCAGAGGUAUGUGCUUCAGUCUUCAGUUGCAGUAAUAAAAGUUUCAAGAAUGCCUCUUUUGGCCAAGCAAGUAGAUUGGAAGAAGGAGCACCUGUCAGAAAAGUCAUUGAUAAAGAAGUGGCAGGAAAACAAGCUGUGGAAAAUCCAAGAUCAUGGAGAUGGGGUACAGAUAAUUCCUUGGGCCAGAUGGGAAUUCAGGCAGGAAUAGCACAAGAUAGAGGAGUGAAAGGAACUCAUCAGGUGUCUAACUGUCUAGAGAGUGUAACCAGACAUGGAAGAGUCAGCAACAGUGGUGACAGCUUGUUGGUAGUAGAAUUAGGCACAAGAAAUGGAGUUGAGAGAAUCAUCUUGAGGAAGGAUCUCGCCUGAUUACUGUACAGGACCACAUCGAUCCCCUUUCAUGUACAGUGUUCACAAGGACCUUACCCGUUAAGUUGGCAGCAGGGCGUCCGAGUCCACCAGCAAUGAAGGCUUAUGGUGUUUUAUGAUUGAAGAUGUUCUGUUUCUGAACAGAAGUUUGUGUGGUCAACUUUUGUAACAUAAUCACCCAUGCUUGUGUGCAUAGCAUGUGAAGUUGUUUGCUGUGAAAGUUGGGAUAGCAUGACUAUAUUUUCACAAUUUGCAAGAGAAUGCUGGCUCGGAAUACUAAUGCUUAUGUUUGCUGCCUAAAAGUAAUGCUUAUUUCGGAGCCUAUGUUAAACAUAUUGUAUACUCUUGAAGGAUCAAGUGUGUAUGUACUUGGUCACAAAAACAGCUUUUCAAAUAACUGAGAGUAGGGGUGGUAUUGUUAUAGAGCCUCCAUAUUAUCAUGUCCAUGUUUCUCAAGUAAGUUCGGGGACAUCUGAUUCAGCAAGUGGAACUUCCUGUCAUGUGCACUGAAUGAAAUCUACACAGAAAGGUUGGCAAGAGACCUCAUCAAUUCAGGGUGUGGUACUUUUGAAUUUUUGUAAAUCAAACUAUUUAUGAAUUUGUUAAUGUUAAAAUUGUUUUAAAAGGAUAAAAUAGUUUGGUAAUGUAUGGUAGAAUGUUUGUUUUAUAUGCUGUUAUACUGUAGUGGUAAGGAAGUAUUAAUAUAAUGUGAUGUUCAGAUAACUUCACAAAAAAAAAAAUUGUAAAUCAUAACUAUUGAUGACAUGAUAACAUUGUCAGACUCUUCAUUUCAUGCCAGAGUGUUAGGAACACAUUGUCCCUAGUUUGAUGAUCUGGUGUAAGCUCAUUUUUCAUUAUUCUCAGAAAAUGAACUGCAAAGAUUUUGAUAUCAUUCAGAGCUUUAAUUAGCUGAUUUUUUUAGGACAUUUGGUUAAAAAAUGUGACAACACUGACCCCUGAAAUUUUUGUAUGUGAAAGGGUAUAAAAAACUGUCACUUUGGUUGGAAAACUAAAAAAAAUCGUAAGAAAAAAAAGGGUUAUGCGAGUUCAUCAAAACAGGGAUGAUAUGGCAACGAUGACUAAGCUAAAUGUUUUCCAGUAAGAUGUUAGGAUUCUUUAUUUUUACUGAGUUUUGAGACUGUGGAUCAUGUGCUUCUUAUAGUAUUUUUUUUUUCAUGUCAAAUAUGUACUGUGUAUUAUAGUCUGUUAAUUUCCAUGCUUCUCUCAUAAAAGUAUUAAAAAAAAUUGAGUGAUAUAAAAUGAUUUGGUUAGCUUUUGCAUUGUGUAUAACUGGAGCUUUUAAAAGACCUCCAUUUUUGUAUAAUUGGUUGCAACCAAAAGUCUAAGUCAUAAUAAGUUAGAUGUCGAAUUUUGUGUUAAAAUGCUAUCAUUUACAUUUACAGAAUUUCAAAAUGGAGAUUAGAAUAGUCAUGUCUUUGUGGCGCUAAUACACGACUUCCUCAGUUACCUGUGUUUCCCAAGACAUUGAUGAAUGUAGACUUGCAGUCUGUUUUGUUUCUUCUCAUCUGCAUCAGUAAUGUGGUUAUGUUAUUUGUCUCAAGUCACUCUCCUUAUCCCAGCCUUAUAUUUCUUCCCUUUUCUCCCUGUCACCCUCAUUCUGUUAGCUGUAGGGGAUAGAUCAUAAAUAUACAAGUGUGAGAAUGAUAGGUUCAGUUUAGGUGCCCUUAACCACAUAGGAAUGCCAACAGAUGCUGUUGGCAUGACCCUGUUAAUCAGUUUUUUCUAAAGUCAUCCAAGACUUUGGUAUUUUGAACUUCUCGGACCUAAUCGUAGUCAGUUUGUGGCAGCUUAUCAGUGUUAGUUUUAUGAGAUAGUAAUAAAAAAAUUUGGAGAGCGUUGUGUGCUAAUACUUUGCACUGCCAGACCUCCUUGGCUGCAGAAAAAUCAUUUUGGUUAAUGAAUGAUUUUGCUGUUUUAUAUUGUUCAGGUUACCUGAUGUAAGCUGUUGUAUGCUCAAGACUGUAACAUAAGUGACAGUACCUUUUUUUCCUUCUACUGCUACUGUAAGAGGUGGCUUGAGGAUCCAGUUAGUAUCUUCUGUGGCAUUUUGGGUAGGUGAUUAACGUAGAAUAUAAGAAAUGAAUAACUAUCAAGAAUUGGAAUUAGGAAAAUUUACUUUGCAUAGACACUGGAGGAAGCAUGUGGAAUAUUUACUAUACAUAUGAGUAAGAUACAUAGAGAAGUAAAAACUUUUCAUGUUUUUAACCUUUAUAGAAUCAAUCUUUUUUUUUACUUUACUUUUGAAAUCAAGUAUUCACGAAGAUAUAAACUAUUAUGAUUUUACUUGAUAUAUAUUACCUCUACACUAUAUGCAGAUAUAUAUAUUACCUCUAUACUGUAUGCAAUUGAGCACAUCUGAUAAUACAAGAUAGUAUUGUGUUUCAGCAAUUCUGAUAACAGAGGUAUUGGCAAUACUAUAAAUAUAAUUGCUUAGUUUUCUGUCUUGUAAAGAUGGAGGAACUUCUCAGUAUAAAUUAUAGCAAGAACUAUUACUUGUUUAGCUUUAAAGCAUUUGGAAGGUUUGAAGCAAAUGGAUGACAUUUCAGAUGUACCGUAAAAAAAAUUCAAAUGUACUGUAACAAGCAAUGCUCUUAGUCUUGCUUUCCUAGGUGACUGAAAUUCGAGAAGGGCAGGUCUAUAGUGGCAUUCUUUCGUGCUCUUUUGUAGCUUAUUGUGUUUGAUUUUGAUAAAGGCAUAUGUUAGUUUUAGAAAUAGGGCAUUUCAACUUAAGUGACCUCAUUUUCCCCAUGUCCGUUUCAAGGUGCAGUUAACAGAUCUCACUAAAUUUAUACUGGGUGUAUGUUGAAUUUUGGGGUGAUUAGUUAAAGCUAAUGUUUUUGGAAUUUUGCAAAUGAGCUAAAGAUGUUACCCUUUGUAUCAUUUAAGUAUAGAAUGAGUCUUCUGUAAGUUUGUCUUUGUUAUGUGGUGGUUUUUGUUGAUUUUCAGUUAUGGUGUUCAAGGGUUUGUGUGGUGCCUGAUGAAUGAUAACAAGAAACAGGUAGGAACCUGGCUGUAUUAAGUGGUUGAAGGUAGGAAGUACUUUUAAUUGGGCAUAACAUACUGUAAUUGACUCUAAGAUAAGUAUGGGUCUCUGGGCAUUAGGUUAGGUACUGGAAGGAGAAGGUUUUGUGAGGUCCAGUUACAUAUAGCAGUCAGGAUGUUGGAAUUUGAAGUCAUGCCAAGAGAUGCAAUAGUUUUCAAGUAGGUAGGAAGAAUGAGAAAGUUGCAGUGAUUGACUUCUGAAUUUGUCAUUUUAUUUAAGAAUCAUUCUUCACACAAACCCCAUUUAUAUUAUUGGGCCCUUAUUUGGAACUGUAAGUGCUGUGUAGUCAGUGGGUAAUUGAACAAUCUUUAGGGGUAUUGUAAUUAGACUUGACAAACACUGGUGUCAAUUGUUUUAGUACAGUUGUAAUUUAAAUUAGCUACAAAUAUUCUUAAAGAGUUUAGUAGAUAUCAAGGGACAUUGUCGGUGUUACAAGUGCUUUCAAUUAUUGAUUCUUUCAAUAGAAACCUGUUUCUUCUAUUAUUAGUCUCCCAGGAAGGGGUCAUUCUUAUCAACUGGUGUUAUCAGUUGGGAAAAAUAUAAGUUGGUCAUUUAUGAUUUUAUAAUUUUUUGUGCAAAAUUGCUUUUUACUUCAACUUUUGUCUGUGCUUUUUAGGUUUCUGUUUGUGAUUAUUUUGUAAUCCAUUACUUCCUUUCCUUGUUAAUUGAUUUGACUGGUUGUUUACAGUUAAUCGUAGCAAGUGCAUUGAUUUGUACAUUCAAAUAAACAUGUAAAAGUCCCAUGAUAAAAUAGGAUUAAGUAGGUCAUGCAAUAUCAAAAUGUCUCAUUUGUAGUGUUAGCAGGAACCUAAUUUAUUCAUUUAUGUGGUUGAAGUUACCCAGACAAAUAUGUCAGUGAAUUUUGGCUAGUGUCCCUUUUGGAGAGAAUUUUGAAAGUCACCAAAGGUUCUGUGCCACUUGUCUUGGUCCCCAGUUUUAGUCAAUUUUUUGGGUUUUUCUUCACUCAUCUGCCCUGCUUCUCUCAACUUAAUCCUGCGCCUUUUGUUUUGUGAGAAAAUUGUGUGGGGCAUCCCUGUUGUAAAAGUUCAGAAAUAUGUGUUUGGUUUAACUGCUCUUUGAUAAAAAUAAUGUGGAUUUUCUUGGAACUGUGUGGGUUUGUUUUGUCCCAAAGGUAAAGUACCAGAUUUGUGUUUUAGUUUACGAUGGUAAACAGAUCUUGGUUUGUUAUCUGUGGUCAGCUUUAUCUCUUCAUCUUAUAUUUCAUGGUGCUUUUAUUUUCCAGAUGGUUUCCAGCCUGGGAAGUUUUCUUUGCGUAACUUUUCUUUGCCGAGGAAAGUUAUAGAUUAUUUUUUCUUUUGUUUUAAAUUUGGCACAUAUUUUUUUUGUGAUAUACGCAUUUUGAUUUAUUGUUUGUGUAAAAAGUAAAAAAUAUAUGACUUAUUUCAAGUAACAUAAAGGAAAAAGGGUGAAAAUGAACCUCAACCUCUUUAAAUGUCUCUUUCCAUGUUGAUUUGUUAAAAUUGCUUGGUUACCCAAGCUGUCUCAGUUUGUGAUAUACAUUUAUACAUUUUUAGUGUGGAUUUAGAUACGUAUAUUGUACCAUUAUUCUGGCUAAUGACAUACAUUUGGCCGUUUAUUUUUGAGAGGUAUCCAUUUGUUGCUUUGUUCUAGCAUUUAAGCGUGUCGUUGCAUAUUUGCGUUAGUGUAUAGUAUGUGAUCUGUGAGGCAUGUAACAUGGUGUAUGUUUAUUUGCAAAACAACAUCUCAGACUGAGAGGUUGUUGAUACCGUUUCAGCGCAUGUGUUCAUGUAAGUACUUGUCUUUAUUAACGUGUCUUCCUUGUUUCUUGGGCAUUGAGGAAAGGUAGCAAGCUGUUCAGCUUCAUCAUAUUGAUAUCUUUGGACAUUCUGAUUGGGGAUCUUUGCCAAAAAUGGGGCCAGUGUUUCUUUUCAGUGGUUUGUUUUCUUGGCUGCAGAAAGGUAAUUUCAUAUGGAAAAGUAGGUCUUUAAAUAAGGCUUGGUAACUGUUCAAGAAUUGCCACUUCAUAUGAAAGGCUGUCAUAUGGGAAAUAUGUACAUAACAAAGAUUUUUAUUUAACAUUUAGCUUAAGCCUUCAUGUAUUGUGUGGUCAUUGGUAAUGAAGUAUUUAAUGCAAUUAGCAUGCUGUUGUAAAAGAUGCAGGAACAAGUAUGGAGAGGAAUGCUGGCAGUGUUAGAUAUUUAUAAAAGUACAGCAAUGGCUUUGAGUGUGUGGUCACGAAGCCAUGCAUUGGAAAUUACUGAGUACCAUUUUCAGAGAUACGAGGACAGCUUUGGUAAGAUUUGGAACUCUGAAUUUGCCGAACGGUGUGAUUCGCUGUUGCCAGAAUAGGCUUUACUUGUGCAGGGCUUAAAAGCCGUCCUCACCGGAACCAAAUCAUCUCUCUGAGGUGUUUUUCAAACAUGCUGAUAUAUGUGCUAAUUAGACUGGAGCUUGGCUGAUCAGUAGCAUUGUUCGUUCAUCGUAGAGAGCUGUCCUUAGUUUAGGAUUCGUAGAUACGUGACAAACAUGCCAGUAACUGCUAGCUAUGCUUUAGGCAUCACUUACUUAUUUCGUGAUUGUACUUAUUUCGUGAUUGUAUGUAAUCACAAAACUCAGACAAUCAUAAGAUAAGUUUCAUGCCGUAAGACAACAAAUCCCAGGCAGUAACGCAUAUCCACCCGGGUUAGUACAGGUUACAAGUUUGUUUUUGUGAUUUUAACAAAAUGGAAAGUCAAAGCUCAUAACUGUAUGUAUAUUGAUUGUGUAUAUACCAAAGACAUUGUUCAAUUCAAAACCAAAUGUGUUUGAUAGUCUUUUGUCUGAGGAACACUGUAGUUAGAGCUUACUGUACAGUAUUUGGGUCCCCUGUGAAACAGAUGCUGUCUUUGGCUUUCUUGCGAGACAACCCUGUUAGAUGCUCAUUAGGUUGAUGCCUGGAGUGAAAUGCUUACGAUGCAGAGCUACCUUCAUCUUGUGAAGGGUAGCGACUUUUUUUUUCUCAACCCACCAGUUCAAAUUGAGCACAAAGCAAUUCAAGCUUCUCCGAGCAGCUGCUGUCUUGUGGUUUCUGGACUAACGAGCUUUCUGCGCAACCAGUGGAUCAAUCUGUCACCCAGUCUCAGAAUUGUAUUCUGCUAGACCUAUUUUAUAUGAGAGAGAGAACUAUCAUUGUUACCUUUUUUUUAAAGAUUUCAUUAUCCUGUUUCGUACUCACAAUUUCUCCUUCAUUCUAUUUGCAUUUUGUGCAAUACUUCUCAUAUCAUGGUUCAUAUCAUAUUCUUGUAUUGAAUAACGUGCGUGUUUUAUAUGUUGUGUAUAUUUGGCUUGUGAGGUCGCUCUUUUGUACAUAGGUCGUGAAAGGUUAGUGGUCAUACUUGUGUAAAUUGCUUGAAAAUCUAUGUAUUGUGGAUGAAUAUGUAAAUGAUAGAUGAAUAUAUAUAUAUAUAAAGUAUAUAUACAUAUAUUUUUAAAACAGAAGAUGUCGUUUUGGAUAACGCAUGAUAGCCAAAGCAAUACCGUUGAGCCAGAAUAUGACAUAACCCUUUUAUAUAAAAGAAUUAUUAUUAUACCCUCUUCAGUUUCAGUUCAGUUCCCAUUAUCGACAAGAAAUUUUUGUAUCAGAAGAAAACUGUACAACCUUCGGAUAUAAAUAUAUAUACUCUUAGAUAA